Molecule: ribosomal RNA, 286 nt
Filed under: Staphylococcus aureus
Lineage: Bacteria; Bacillati; Bacillota; Bacilli; Caryophanales; Staphylococcaceae
Description: partial 23S ribosomal RNA
Rfam family: Bacterial large subunit ribosomal RNA
Source: RNAcentral
CGAGCAGGUGCGAAAGCAGGUCAUAGUGAUCCGGUGGUUCUGAAUGGAAGGGCCAUCGCUCAACGGAUAAAAGGUACUCCGGGGAUAACAGGCUGAUACCGCCCAAGAGUUCAUAUCGACGGCGGUGUUUGGCACCUCGAUGUCGGCUCAUCACAUCCUGGGGCUGAAGUAGGUCCCAAGGGUAUGGCUGUUCGCCAUUUAAAGUGGUACGCGAGCUGGGUUUAGAACGUCGUGAGACAGUUCGGUCCCUAUCUGCCGUGGGCGCUGGAGAAUUGAGGGGGGCUGC